UACGUAGGGGGCGAACGUUGUCCGGAUUUAUUGGGCGUAAAGAGCUCGUAGGCGGCUCAGCAAGUCGGCCGUGAAAACCCGGGGCUCAACCCCGGGACGCCGGUCGAAACUGCUGUGGCUAGGGUUCGGCAGAGGAGAGUGGAAUUCCCGGUGUAGCGGUGAAAUGCGCAGAUAUCGGGAGGAACACCAGUAGCGAAGGCGGCUCUCUGGGCCGAUACCGACGCUGAGGAGCGAAAGCUAGGGGAGCAAACAGG
This 254-nucleotide ribosomal RNA is filed under the name uncultured bacterium. RNAcentral's name for it is "partial 16S ribosomal RNA". It matches the Rfam family "Bacterial small subunit ribosomal RNA", at positions 524 to 776 of the family's 1533-position model. The record is from RNAcentral.